RNAcentral lists this ribosomal RNA (636 nucleotides) under Strongylium sp. 1 GJK-2017. RNAcentral's name for it is "eukaryotic LSU rRNA". It matches the Rfam family "Eukaryotic large subunit ribosomal RNA", at positions 670 to 1262 of the family's 3401-position model. Lineage: Eukaryota; Metazoa; Arthropoda; Insecta; Coleoptera; Tenebrionidae. The record is from RNAcentral.
GGAGUCUAGCAUGUGCGCGAGUCAUUGGGACAUUACUAAACCUAAAGGCGCAAUAAAAGUGAAAGUCAGCCUUGCGCUGACCUAGGGAGGAUAGGCGGUCGUUACGGCUGCCGCCUCGCACUCCCGGGGCGUCUCAUUCUCAUUGCGAGAAGAGGCGCACCAAGAGCGUACACGCUGGGACCCGAAAGAUGGUGAACUAUGCCUGGUCAGGACGAAGUCAGGGGAAACCCUGAUGGAGGUCCGUAGCGAUUCUGACGUGCAAAUCGAUCGUCGGAACUGGGUAUAGGGGCGAAAGACUAAUCGAACCAUCUAGUAGCUGGUUCCCUCCGAAGUUUCCCUCAGGAUAGCUGGCGCUCAUAGAGCACGAGUUUCAUCCGGUAAAGCGAAUGAUUAGAGGCAUUGGGGUCGAAACGGCCUCAACCUAUUCUCAAACUUUAAAUGGGUGAGAUCUCCGGCUUGCUCGAACUAUUGAAGCCGCGAGACUCGAAUCAGAGUGCCAAGUGGGCCAUUUUUGGUAAGCAGAACUGGCGCUGUGGGAUGAACCAAACGCCGAGUUAAAGCGCCUAAAUCGACGCUUAUGGGAUACCAUGAAAGGCGUUGGUAACUUAAGACAUCAGGACGGUGGCCAUGGAAGUC